GACGAACGCUGGCGGCGGGCCUAACACAUGCAAGUCGAACGGAAAGGCCCUGCUUUUGUGGGGUGCCCGAGUGGCGAACGGGGGAGUAAAACGUGAGUAACCUGCCCUUGACUUUGGGGUGACUUCAGGAAACUGGGGCUAAUACCCGAUAGGAGCCCCUCCUGCAUUGUGGGGGGUGGAAAGUUUCGGCGGUUGGGGGUGGACUCGCGGCUUAUCAGCUUGUUGGUGGGGUAGUGGCUUACCAAGGCUUUGACGGGUAGCCGGCCUGAGAGGGUGACCGGCCACAUUGGGACUGAGAUACGGCCCAGACUCCUACGGGAGGCAGCAGUGGGGAAUAUUGCACAAUGGGCGGAAGCCUGAUGCAGCAACGCCGCGUGCGGGAUGACGGCCUUCGGGUUGUAAACCGCUUUCGCCUGUGACGAAGCGUGAGUGACGGUAAUGGGUAAAGAAGCACCGGCUAACUACGUG
Molecule: ribosomal RNA, 468 nt
Filed under: uncultured bacterium
Lineage: Bacteria
Description: partial 16S ribosomal RNA
Rfam family: Bacterial small subunit ribosomal RNA
Source: RNAcentral